RNAcentral lists this ribosomal RNA (1478 nucleotides) under uncultured bacterium. Its description in RNAcentral is "bacterial SSU rRNA". It matches the Rfam family "Bacterial small subunit ribosomal RNA". The record is from RNAcentral.
UUCCAUGACAAUCAUAUAGGGCGAAUGAAUUUCCCGGCCGCUUAUCGCCCUUAAAGGUUGACCUGGCUCCGGAGACGUUGGCGGCGUGCCUAACACAUGCAAGUCGAGCGAUGAAGCUUCUACGGAAGUGAAUUAACGGCGGACGGGUGAGUAACACGUGGGCAACCUACCUCAUAGUGGGGAAUACCCUCUCGAAAGGGACAUUAAUACCGAAUAACAUCGUAGUUUCUCUUGAAACAGCGAUAAAAGGAUUUAUUCGCUAUGAGAUGGGCCCGCGGCGCAUUAGCUAUUUGGUGGGGUAAUGGCCUACCAAGGCGACGAUGCGUAACCGACCUGAGAGGGUGAUCGGCCACAUUGGGACUGACACACGGCCCACACUCCUACGGGAGGCAGCAGUGGGGAAUAUUGCACAAUGGGGGAAACCCUGAUGCAUCUACGCCGCGUGAGUGAUGACGGUCUUCAGAUGGUAAAGCUCUGUCUUUAGGGACGAUAAUGACGGUACCUACGGAUGAAUCCACGGGUACCUACGUGCCACCAGGCGUGGUAAUACGUAGGUGGCAAGCGUUGUCCGGAUUUACUGUGCGUAAAGGGAGCGUAUGUGGAUUUUUAAGUGGGAUGUGAAAUACCCGGGCUUAACCUGGGUGCUGCAUACCAGACUGGAUAUCUAGAGUGCAAGACGGGAAAGCGGAAUUCCUACUGUAGCGGUGAAAUGCGUAGAGAUUAGGAAGCACACCAGUGGCGAAGGCGGCUUUCUGGACUGUAACUGACACUGAGGAUCGAAAGCUUGGGGAGCAAACAGGAUUAGAUACCCUGGUAGUCCACGCCGUAGACGAUGAAUACUAGGUGUGAGGGUUGUCAUGACCUUCGUGCCGCCGCUAACGCAUUAAGUAUUCCGCGUGGGGAGUACGGUCGCAAGAUUAAAACUCAAAGGAAUUGACGGGGGCCCGCACAAGCACCGGAGCAUGUGGUUUAAUUCGAAGCAACGCGAAGAACCUUACCUAGACUUGACAUCUCCUGCAUUACCCUUAAUCGGGGAAGUUCGUUCGGGGACAGGAAGACAGGUGGUGCAUGGUUGUCGUCAGCUCGUGUCGUGAGAUGUUGGGUUAAGUCCCGCAACGAGCGCAACCCUUAUUGUUAGUUGCUACCAUUUAGUUGAGCACUCUAGCGAGAAUGCCCGGGUUAACCGGGAGGAAGGUGGGGAUGACGUCAAAUCAUCAUGCCCCUUAUGUCUAGGGCUACACACGUGCUACAAUGGCUGGUACAGAGAGAUGCAAUACCGCGGAGGCGGAGCUAAACUUCAAAACCAGUCUCAGUUCGGAUUGCAGGCUGAAACUCGCAUGCAUGAAGCUGAAUUUGCUAGUAAUCACGAAUCUGAAUGUCGCGGUGAAUACGUUCCCGGGCAAGUACACACGGCCCUUUAAGGGCGAAUUCGUUUAAACUAACAGGACGGGCCCUUUAUGAGGUAUUUGGCUGUUCGA